RNAcentral lists this long non-coding RNA (2409 nucleotides) under Heterocephalus glaber (naked mole-rat). RNAcentral's name for it is "lncRNA (ENSHGLG00000048720.1)". Lineage: Eukaryota; Metazoa; Chordata; Mammalia; Rodentia; Bathyergidae. The record is from RNAcentral.
CCUCGGGAAGGUGACUGGGGAGAUGAAACAAAAGGCUGAAUUCUGUAUCUGGGUCGGCCUAGAGCAGACAAACGGAGCAGCAGGGGUGGCACCAAGAGGUGUGGAUUCAGCAGGAUCAGGACUUUGGAAGGAGCCGUGGACUCGAGUCUGGGAAAGCUCAGGAGUUAACGGAAGUCUGGCGGGCGGGGGUCAGUAGGCCCUUCGAGGAGCUUGGAAAGAGUUCAAACAGGCUUUAACUCCAACUUCCAAAGUCACUGGAGUGUCCCCUCACCCUCUGCCUCCGAGCUCCUCACCAGCAGGCAGGAUAAAUGAUUCCGAGCCCUUACUGCAUUCCAAACACUCUGCCCCCUCGCCUGAUCUCUGAGAGCCCAGACUUACAGACCAAAGCAAAACCAAUAAACAGACACACCCCAGCCUUUUCCGGGCCGUCAGUGAUGUGUGUUUCACCAGGAAGACGAGGUCUGGCGCCAUGGCUCCAACCCUAGUGCCGAACCUGAGCAGGCAGAGGGCUCCACGCAGGACCCCCAGGUCAAGCUGGUGACCCCCGUCUGCCCUUAGUGAUGUGGCCAGAUGUGGAAGAGGUGUUGGAGCCCCAUCCAGAGGAGCUUUGUGAGAGCCGCCAGCACCCGACUGGGGAGGCCAGGAAGCCACGGCCGGCACUCAGAGCGAGGGAGCUCAGGCCCAGCUCAGCAAGGAGGCUCGACUAGAAGCCAGGCCCUUACCCAGGCCACUCCGUGGGACCCUCUGGAAGUGUUUCUCAUAACAAGAAGAGGUGGCUGUGCAGGAAGGAAACUCGGAGACUCUGUGUGACCUGUUGUCUGCCGUCAUUAGACCGGUCUGAGCUUGUAUCCAGACUCCGUGAGGCCCUGGGAUCCCAGCCAGGUGCUCAGCUCUGGGCGAGUUUCAUCCUCAUGAAUAAUGGGGAUAAAAUACCCAAUUUUAGGCUCGCUGUGGAAGAAAUUGAGAGGCUCCCUGUACUAUUCCCAGUCAACCUGAGCCUCUUGUUUCCUGAGAAGACAAACACGACAUCCACCAUUAUCGCUGCUGGGCCAGAAGAAGGGAUUAAUGAACUCCAGUCCUCACAGAAGCCCCACGGAAAGAGGCCGUCACCCCCACUCUACCCUGGGGAACAGGGGUCACAAAACUGCUAAGGAGCCAGUCAGAGCUGGUAACGGGAUGGAGAGCCCAGGACUCAAACCAGUCACAGGUCCUGUGCUGUUCCUCGGUCAUCUUCCUGAUAGAAAAGAGGAAAGUGCCUCCGAAGGGAGCCCCACCGUGCAGAGUAUGAGGGAGUGGGAUAAGGAUUAAAAGAAGACAGCACCAUAGAGCAAGAUGAGAGAGGUUUCCAAAGGCUGCGUCUAGGACGAGCCAGGGGACCUUGAUAGCUGAGACGUUAACUCUGCAGAGAGAGGGAGAGAAGAUGAACCAGAGGACGCCUAGAACCGGUGAGCACCACGCAGGGUCCUUCAGAGACGGCGGAGUCCCGUGCUGAGAGCUCCCUCCAAGGCUGGGAUAGCUUGGGCACUUCUCUUUGCUCACGGAGAAAUCCCAAAGGCAUUUGGUUUUCUUUGAGGCCUCUACUCCCCAUUUCUUGGUGGCCAUUAUUAGUUCAAUCAAAAGGUGGCAGCCUUCGGGGCGAAUGAGCCCCCUCUUCUGAGCCAGGGAGCCCGCUUCGAAGGUGUAGCAGGCUCCGGUUUCAAGUCCCUGAUCAGGGCCAGCUGUAGCCGACCCACCCCGUCGACUCGUUGGGGACCUAGACCUGCUACUUCCUUCUCCCUGACCUGGGGGUGAAUGAGGAGGAUGAAUGGCAAACAGACACAGAGUCAGUUUAAUUUUCAGGCAGCCAGAGGAGGCCCUAGUGUCUGACUCAUCUUGCCUCUAUUUACCCGAAUGGGUGCAAGCAAUCAGAGAAACACAGGAUCCACCUGCUUUCCGGGAUUCAUUACUACAAACUCUGGUAAACAACUUAACCUCCGGCGUCCUAACUUUUCCCUGGAUCCCGCACUAUGCGGUCACCCCUGAGAGCAGCCUUCCUCCUUUGUGCUCACAGAGGGGCCAGCUAGGCCUCAGUUCUCCUCUGCUCUCUGGCACUCAGGUGCAAGAGGGUAACCUUGCUUCUAUCCCAAAGCCAAGCCUGAGCCACCAUGGGUGGAGGCAGGAGACAUCCAAGGUCACAUAGAUGUAAAGCUUGACUUGGGGCCCAGCUGCUGUGGCCAGAGGCUGUCCUUCCACCAAUGAUGUCGCUAACCUGAGGAGCUGGAGCCAGCAGCGCUUGAUGCCCUGCCAUCCCGCUACUGCCAGCAACAGGACUCUGCUCCUCUGACCUUUGGCCCAGGCGCCUCCCGUUGCAUCUCCUCCCAACACUUCCCAUGGUGCCCGCUGGAGUCCCCUGUCCACUGUCGAAUCCCC